AAAUUGAAGAGUUUGAUCAUGGCUCAGAUUGAACGCUGGCGGCAGGCCUAACACAUGCAAGUCGAACGGUAACAGGAAGCAGCUUGCUGCUUUGCUGACGAGUGGCGGACGGGUGAGUAAUGUCUGGGAAACUGCCUGAUGGAGAGGGAUAACUACUGGAAACGGUGGCUAAUACCGCAUAACGUCGCAAGACCAAAGAGGGGGACCUUCGGGCCUCUUGCCAUCAGAUGUGCCCAGAUGGGAUUAGCU
Molecule: ribosomal RNA, 249 nt
Filed under: Salmonella enterica subsp. enterica serovar Infantis
Lineage: Bacteria; Pseudomonadati; Pseudomonadota; Gammaproteobacteria; Enterobacterales; Enterobacteriaceae
Also listed under: 1 other name
Description: partial 16S ribosomal RNA
Rfam family: Bacterial small subunit ribosomal RNA
Source: RNAcentral